UGGGGAAUUUUGGACAAUGGGCGAAAGCCUGAUCCAGCCAUGCCGCGUGAGUGAAGAAGGCCUUCGGGUUGUAAAGCUCUUUCAGACGGAAAGAAAACUUCUGGGCUAAUACCCUGGGAGGAUGACGGUACCGUAAGAAGAAGCACCGGCUAACUACGUGCCAGCAGCCGCGGUAAUACGUAGGGUGCGAGCGUUAAUCGGAAUUACUGGGCGUAAAGCGUGCGCAGGCGGUGAUGUAAGACAGAUGUGAAAUCCCCGGGCUCAACCUGGGAACUGCGUUUGUGACUGCAUCACUCGAGUACGGCAGAGGGAGGUGGAAUUCCGCGUGUAGCAGUGAAAUGCGUAGAGAUGCGGAGGAACACCGAUGGCGAAGGCAGCCUCCUGGGCCAGUACUGACGCUCAUGCACGAAAGCGUGGGGAGCAAACA
RNAcentral lists this ribosomal RNA (427 nucleotides) under uncultured bacterium. Its description in RNAcentral is "bacterial SSU rRNA". It matches the Rfam family "Bacterial small subunit ribosomal RNA", at positions 355 to 774 of the family's 1533-position model. The record is from RNAcentral. RNAcentral also lists the same sequence under 1 other name.